RNAcentral lists this ribosomal RNA (208 nucleotides) under uncultured bacterium. RNAcentral's name for it is "partial 16S ribosomal RNA". It matches the Rfam family "Bacterial small subunit ribosomal RNA", at positions 568 to 774 of the family's 1533-position model. The record is from RNAcentral.
UGCGUAGGCGGCGCGGUAUGUCGGAAGUGAAAUCUCACGGCUCACCCGUGAAACGGCUUCCGAAACUAUCGUGCUAGAGUACGGGAGAGGAGAGCGGAAUUCUUGGUGUAGCGGUGAAAUGCGUAGAUAUCAAGAAGAACACCGGUGGCGAAAGCGGCUCUCUGGACCGAUACUGACGCUGAGGCACGAAAGCGUGGGGGAGCAAAGA